GACGAACGCUGGCGGCGUGCCUAAUACAUGCAAGUCGAACGAAUCGGCGGAUGGGUAAGUAACGCGUGGGUAACCUGCCAUUAAGUCUAGGAUACCAUUUGCAAACAAAUGCUAAUACCGGUUACUAAAGGAUGGCCCUUCGAUGCCUUCGCUAGUUGGUAAUGGAACGGCUUACAAAGGCGAUGAUGCAUAGCUGAGUGGAGAGACUGAUCGGCAACAUUGGGACUGAGACACGGCCCAAACGCCGACGGGAGGAAGCAGUAGGGAAUCUUACACAAUGGACGAAAGUCUGAUGGAGCAACGCCGCGUGAGUGAAGAAGGGUUUCGGAUCGUAAAGCUCGGUUGUUGGUGAAGCGGUAAUCAACCAGAAAGUCACGGCUAACUACGUGCCAGCCGCCGCGGUAAUAC
RNAcentral lists this ribosomal RNA (408 nucleotides) under uncultured bacterium. RNAcentral describes it as "partial 16S ribosomal RNA". It matches the Rfam family "Bacterial small subunit ribosomal RNA", at positions 28 to 526 of the family's 1533-position model. The record is from RNAcentral.